UACGUAGGAGCCAAGCGUUAUCCGAAUUUACUGGGCGUAAAGCGCGUGUAGGCGGCUUGGUAAGUUGGCUGUGAAAUCUCCCGGCUCAACUGGGAGGGGGCGGUCAAGACUGUGAGGCUGGAGGCCGGGAGAGGGAGGUGGAAUUCCGGGUGUAGUGGUGAAAUGCGUAGAUAUCGGGAGGAACACCAGUGGCGAAAGCGGCCUCCUGGUCCUGACCUGACGCUGAGACGCGAAAGCCAGGGGAGCGAAC
Molecule: ribosomal RNA, 250 nt
Filed under: uncultured Anaerolineae bacterium
Lineage: Bacteria; Bacillati; Chloroflexota; Anaerolineae
Description: partial 16S ribosomal RNA
Rfam family: Bacterial small subunit ribosomal RNA
Source: RNAcentral